AACGCCGUCUUCCGGUCCGUUGCCUAGCAACGGCACUGGAACAACUGACGAGGCCAUAUUCUCCACAAGCAAAACAACCGCUAGGUGACACCAACACCUAGUACAACAAACGCACUCUUCUCGCUCAAAGUCUGACAUAGUGCUGGAAAACAACUUUUUAUGCUUAAUUUCACAACGUAAUGUUGACUUAAAAACAAAAAUUAAAACACACGCGAAAGACACGGUAAUAGGUGCGUCAAACAAACUUGAGGCAAAUGCGCGCUCAGACCAAUUACAUAGCACUGAAAAUGUUCCCAACAUGGAAAUGAUCCCUAUCGGCAAGUGUAACAGUUUUACCUCAGGGGCGAAACGGGGAACGCGACCAGUUAUGAUAGAUUUAUUAUAGGAAAGGUGGGUCGUGUUGUGCGUUACGCGCCAGGCGACAAACGGCACCGGGAAUGACAGGAAAGAAGUCACUUUAAUGCCAGCCGUGUCCUGAUUGACAAGGAACAGCUGAAUCAGGAACGUGCCCCCAAAAGCUGCAGGGUUCCCCACGGAUACGACCCUUAAGCUGCUAAAGUCAGAGGUCGAUGGUCCCGGAGGGAAGUGUUGGCGACACCCCAGCAGUUGGGCAGACAGAGGCGUUCAGUAGACUAAUGGGGUCUGACUUCAUCAUUAAGGAGGUUUCUGUAAACACCUCAUUUGUAGUCCUUGCGUGAAUCAAAGAGGCCGCAACAAAAGGAAGAUGGAGGUGCGUUGACUGCAGCCACUCAAAGGUAAAGCCGAUAGCAGCUCAACAAUAGCAGCAGGAAAAGUGGAGAAAAUGGCGCUUGGGUUUCAAUGUCAACAACUGAAUUCUUGUGAAAACAAGUCAAGAGAUCAUCGUUUCUCAGCACCAAACAGUUUAACAUCCAGAACUCAAUGAAGACUGUGGUUACCCAUCGCAUCGGUUGCUUACUAUAGCUGACAGCAAGGUAUAAACAAUAGUGACCUCCGUACCAGAUCUUUUGGGCCACACAAAAGCUACUGCUUUCUGAGAGGCCUCGGUACAUGAAUUCAAAUUCAUAAUUAUGUAGAUGGGAAUGAAACAUUGUGACCCAGGCCAAUAAAUAUUCACUUUAUUCUUUAUUCGCUUUUUAAUAAUUAGAGCGAACAUUUUUAAAUGACUUGCAAAGAUAAAGAACGUGAGACGUGAGAAGUGAAGAGAUUUUUAAGGAAAGAGAGACACAGUUAUGCACCAGUUUAAAGGGGGGUUAGAGGCCGUGAGGGUAUUUAUGUUUCUUAUGAAUGAGAGCCUGUGUUUUUAUAAACAUUCACAGCUAUACACCGACCACCGAACUGUGAGCACAAGCAGGUCUUGAAUCUUCACUGAAAAUUUUAAUGAUGGUGUUUUUCUUGAAUGACUUGUUUUCAGAGUAUGUUGCGUGAACUGCAUUUUUACUUAUAAUUUAUCUUACUCUGACCCUCUUUAACAAAUACUUUUCAAUAGAGACGUAUACUCCAAAAUGUAUCGUAAUGUAUCACGCAAUGUGCCGUUUCAGGUAAACUUGGCUUGUUUUAAUCAUUUUUAGAUAUAUGACUCAGUCUGAAAACCCAGCUAAAGUAAUUUUUUGUGUUUUUAAAGUAAUUUUUUGUACAGAAAAUCACUGCUCAUGACGAAAAGAACAUUUUGUUUGUGUGUGUGUGUGUAUAGCCUUGAUACCUUUAAUAUCGACUAAGUAAGGUCAUAUCAAACAUAAGGAAACGUUAGCCUGGAUUUCACAAAUAAAAAAAAAUGUAUAGAUACCUAUACCUAACCCUAACCUUUUGCAGUGUAUUUAUUCAUGAUUUAUGUCUUUUUCAAUUCAAUAUUUAAUUACCAUGCAUUCAUAAGUUCAUGUACAUCUAACACGAAAAAAAGAAUGUGUGCACCCUCUAGUGGCACAAUGCAGGUAUAAAUGUAAAAUCAAAAGUCUAGCUAGUUUUCAGAUGUUUAUGUGUAUGUGCAAAAUUUUGGCAAAUGCAUACAGAUGUUACUGUCUUUGCCGAUUAUGUAACCUUACAUUUUUUUUGUAGAAUGUAUCAAUAUAUGUGGAUAAGUGACAAAAACAGUUUGGCAAUAUGAGAAAUUCAAAAAUCUUUUAAAAAAACGUGUUUUAAAAGCACGCAUCAGGUUUAUUUCAAUGCACAUAGUGUAUUUAUGUUAAUUUUAUGCAAUAAAAAAUUACAUUUUCACCGUU
Misgurnus anguillicaudatus (oriental weatherfish) is the source of this 2198-nucleotide long non-coding RNA. RefSeq lists it as uncharacterized. The record is from RefSeq and is a predicted model, not a curated record. NCBI's taxonomy places the organism in Eukaryota, Metazoa, Chordata, Actinopteri, Cypriniformes, Cobitidae.